UUCCGGUUGAUCCCGCCAGACCUGACUGCUAUCGGAUUGAUACUAAGCCAUGCGAGUCUUUGUAGUAAUACAAGGCAGACGGCUCAGUAACGCGUAGUCAACCUACUCUAUGGACGGGAAUAACCUCGGGAAACUGAGUAUAAUGCCCGAUAGAACAUUAUGCCUGGAAUGGGUUUAUGUUCCAAAUGAUUUAUCGCCGUAGGAUGGGACUGCGGCCUAUCAGUUUGUUGGUGAGGUAAUGGCCCACCAAGACUAUUACAGGUACGGGCUCUGAGAGGAGUAGCCCGGAGAUGGGUACUGAGACACGGACCCAGGCCCUAUGGGGCGCAGCAGGCGAGAAAACUUUGCAAUGUGCGAAAGCACGACAAGGUUAAUCCGAGUGGUUUCUGCUAAAGAAACCUUUUGUUAGUCCUAAAAACACUAACGAAUAAGGGGUGGGCAAGUUCUGGUGUCAGCCGCCGCGGUAAAACCAGCACCUCAAGUGGUCAGGAUGAUUAUUGGGCCUAAAGCAUCCGUAGCCUGCUCUGUAAGUUUUCGGUUAAAUCUGUAUGCUCAACAUACAGGCUGCCGGGAAUACUGCAGAGCUAGGGAGUGGGAGAGGUAGACGGUACUCGGGAGGAAGUGGU
Molecule: ribosomal RNA, 626 nt
Filed under: uncultured crenarchaeote
Lineage: Archaea; Thermoproteati; Thermoproteota
Description: bacterial SSU rRNA
Rfam family: Archaeal small subunit ribosomal RNA
Source: RNAcentral